ACUCAAAGGAAUAGACGGGGGCCCGCACAAGCAGUGGAGUAUGUGGUUUAAUUCGAAGCAACGCGAAGAACCUUACCAGGGCUUGACAUCCUAAGAACACCAUGGAAACAUGGUGGUGCCCUUCGGGGAACUUAGAGACAGGUGGUGCAUGGUUGUCGUCAGCUCGUGUCGUGAGAUGUUGGGUUAAGUCCCGCAACGAGCGCAACCCUUACCUUUAGUUGCUACGCAAGAGCACUUUAGAGGGACUGCCGUUGACAAAACGGAGGAAGGUGGGGACGACGUCAAAUCAUCAUGCCCCUUAUGUCCUGGGCUACACACGUACUACAAUGGCGAUUAACAGAGGGAAGCAAGACAGUGAUGUGGAGCAAACCCCUAAAAAUCGUCUCAGUUCAGAUCGCAGGCUGAAACCCGCCUGCGUGAAGUAGGAAUUGCUAGUAAUCGCGGAUCAGCAUGCCGCGGUGAAUACGUUCCCGGGCCUUGCACACACCGCCCGU
Molecule: ribosomal RNA, 494 nt
Filed under: uncultured bacterium
Lineage: Bacteria
Description: bacterial SSU rRNA
Rfam family: Bacterial small subunit ribosomal RNA
Source: RNAcentral